GUGUGCUUGGCUGGAGAUGGCUAGCAGCAGCAGCAGCAGAAGUUGAAGAAAAGUUCUACAAUGAUGAAGAAACUUGGAAUCUCCCUCUGGGACCACAAAGAGGAUAGUUUACUGAACUGCCUAAAGGAGGGAACCCCCACUGCUUUUAAUGUUGAUUUUAUUGUAACUAGUGUUUAAGACUGUUCUGCAGUAAAGCUUUGAAACUCAUUCUUGUGAUGGAAAGAAUUCAUCCAAAUCUGGGAUUCCACUGAACAACUUUAGCAUGGCAAUCAGGAGGAAAAGAGCUGAAAGCAGAGGAAGGAAACCAGGGUGGAGAGUUGCAGGGCACUCUCUGUGUGUAUCCACAUUAUUUUCAUCUUCUAAUUGAUAUUCCAGCCUCAAAUGCAACCACAGUAAGCUUUUCAAAUCAUUCAGUAAAAUAUAAAUUUUCUGAUGCCUUGAUUUUCAUCCUAUGUCUAGUUGGCUUACCAUACCACCCAGUAUUUUGAGCUGGCUGGGACACUAAGGAACACUUUAAGAGGCAAGAAAGUCGUAGAACACAAAGGACUGUUUUAGUGCAUCCAAGCAAGAGAAUAAAGGCAUUCACAUUGUGGCAGUAAAUUUAGGAAGCUCAUUCUCUUCCCCUCCCUCUUCUGCUGCAGGCUACAGCCCAUGGACUCAGCUACAUUAGUUUUUUUUUUUUAAGUUAUAAAUGUGUUAUAAUGCUGUGACACCAGCUGUAGAGCUGAAAUCAGAACUGUGAAAUUUUCCAUUAUGAGUUUUAAAAUGUUUUAAAACGUGGGAAUGUAGAGAAAAUAAUUUUUUGGGGGGAAAUGAUAUACAAUGAAUUGAAAAAAAAAUGUUUAAAAUGACAUUUGUAAAAAAAACCAGAAGCAUUUUUGUUAGGGAUUGUAGGACAAGACCUGCCAAGAAAAACAAAGAACUUAUUUAUGUAUGCUACAACAGCAGCAAGAGUCUUGAUGGCGCAAGAAUGGAAGAAUGAGGAAAUCCCAAUGAAAGAACAGUGGCAAAGAGUGUGCUUUACCACUAAACCAUGGUUGUCCUUAGAACAGGUGUGGGGAUGUUUGACCUUCCAGAUGUUGUUGAACUACAACCCACAGCAGCCCCAGCAAACAUGGGCAGGGUUGAUGGAAGUUGCAGUUCAUCAACAUCUGGAGGGCCAAAGGUUCCCCAUACCUUUCUGUCUUCGGGGAAGGGGAGGAAAUAUGAACAAGGGGCAGGGACUCCAAGUACCAACAUCAGAAUGUGCUGAUCACAUAGUAACACAGAAAUGAUAAUAUCCAACUUCUACUUUUGAUGCUGUUUGGUGCCUAGCAGUGUUAAGGUUCAAUAGAAUGUGUUUCCUUACAUUUCAGUUCCUUCGCUCUACAGCAUGGUUAGGCAAACUAAGCCCCGGGGGCCGGAUCUGGCCCAAUCGCCUUCUAAAUAUGGCCUGCGGAUUGUCCGCAGUGUGCUUUUACAUGAGUAUAAUGUGUGCUUUUAUUUAAAAUGCAUCUCUGGGUUAUUUGUGGGGCAUAGAAAUUCAUUUAUCCUCCCCCCCAAAUAUAGUCUGGCCCCCCACAAGGUCUGAGGGGCAAUGAACCAGCCCUCUGCUGAAAAAGUUUGCUGACCUGCUACAGGAUUGGUUGGCUGCCUGUCGGGGGCUCAGCUAAGUUGUAUUUGUGUAUGUGUGUGCUCCUGAGUUUUGGGUGGUAUUAGCGAAAAAGAUCUCCCAUCCCCUAAUUCCCCAGUUCCACUCUGUUUUGUCUUGAACAGGCAGAUAUUUGUAGGAGAUUGAACCCUAUCUGCUUUCUCCAACAUUGACCACUUCCCUGGUCCACCCAGGUUGGAGGUCACAUGCCUGCUCCACUGUGGAAGCUAGGAAUGUUUUCUUUGGCUUGCCUUGGUUGAGGAGAUCCUGAAGUUCUCCAGCCUUACCUGCUGCUUUAGGGAUUAUUGUAGACUGGACUGUAAAUAAGGAUUUCCUUUUUGACAAGCAUCGAUUUAAGAAGAAACUUGACAACCUACUUACCUUUCACCAGCAGCUGCCUCUUUGUAUCAGAGUAGAGCUGGAAUACAAAUGCACCGAGACACAUUUUUGAGCAUGAUCCUUCAGCUCAAGUGUCUUUUUUCAGCUUCGGAUUUUUCUCUUCAUGAAGUCUAACAAGCAGAUCAAUAGCAGAAAUUCCAAGUUUACACCUGGUGUAUUGUCUACUGCAAGAUAGUGUUUGUAAGUAUGGUGGUGUUUUUGUGUGUAUUUAUCUGCAGAGACUAUAGUCUUGUGAUGGUCAGUACAAAAUUGCUACAGAACUAUCUCUUCCUUUUUGAAAAAAUAACUGAUGAAGGUUUGGACACCUAAUUAAUGGUAGAAGAAAAUUAAAUGGCCAGUUUGGUGUAGUGAGGAACACUCUGUCCCUGUUAUGGACCACCAGUUGCAUGGAUGUGAAAUCUGCAGCCCUCCAGAUGUUUUUGGACUCUCAAUUCCCAUCAUCCCUGAACACUAGCUGGAUGUCCAACAGCUGGAGGUUUUUCAAGGAGGGAAACUGGAGCACCACCCUGGAAGAAUUUUAUGUCGUCUCUGUCUUCCACAAUGCUUAAUAAUAAAUAAUAAUAAUUUUAUUAUUUGUAUCCUUCCCACCUGACUGGGUUGCCCCAGCCACUAUUGGCAGCUUCCAACAUAUACAAAACAUAAUAAAACAUUACACAUUAAAUGCUUUCCUAUAUAGGGCUGCCUUCAGUUGUCCUCUAAAGGUUACAUAGUUACUCAUCUCCUUGGCACCUGAUGGGAGGGCAUUCAAUAGGGCAGAUGCCACUACUGAGAAGGUUCUCUGUGUGGUUCCCUGUAGCUUCACUUCUCACAGUGAGGGAACUGCCAGAAGACCCUUGGUGUUGGACCUCAGAUGAACAAUGGGAAUGGAGACGCUCCUUCAGGUAUACAUCUUCCAUUUUCAGUUGCAGAGAGUGCAGUCUUUACUCUCCAACUUGUUUUUAUCAGUCUUCUCAAAUCAGCCAAUCUGCCGUUUUAAACUCCUAAGCUAUCACUAUGGGCAGUGCCCCAGUUUAUGUCUUUAGGGAAGAAACAAAGUAAACACAUAAAUUCAGCACCUGAUACUUUAGCAUUUUUCUAGGGUGGCUGGUCCCUCCAAACUGAAAGCUUUGUCUUCCCCACUUCCUUUUUCUAUAAUAGCUACCUGCUACUCGACAGUCUACAUAGAGGAACAUGCUGAAUUAAAGAAAGAGAAGAGGGAGGGCGGAGACUAUGGCCACCCGUGACAAAUCACAAUGCAGUCUGUGAGCAUGUGCAGAAUUGGUGCCUCGUUGGGCACUGCAUUCUCAGAGAGAGGCAGGCAGGCCACUUGUUCUAGUCUCAUGGUGGCACCCUGCUAACAGUGAGUGAUUUAUGAACAUGUUGGGAGGGAGAUGGCAGCAAUGGCUGUUCUGCUCCUCCUGGAAUUGGUGCCAUUUUCUCUUCCCAACUUUUGCCUUCUCUAGUCUUUCUGAAAGUAAGUAAGAAAGAAGACCUGGGGGUGAAGCAGGCUAGAAAAUGGCAGCUACAGCUGCCUUUCACACCAGGAAUCGUCACCUGGGGGAAGGAAGCGAUUCUUUGGCUUGCCUGCUUCUGUCCAUAGGCUCCCUAUCACUGGCUUAGAGGUUUGCCAGCAAUAGCUUGGCAUUCUUUGAGCCCAGUGGAUUAUUUUUAGGACAAUGCUAGAGAGUUAAGUACCUUUUCGUAUUUUCUUUUCCCCCGUCUUGUGGGCAGACGUUGCCUGUAUUUAUAAUAAGAUAUGCAGAAUUUAUAAGGGAAUGGAUACAAUGAACUCAAAGUUAAACAUCUAGGCUAUGAUCAUUAGCAUGCUUACUUGGGAGUCAAAUAUAUUUCUGAGUACAUAUAAAGGAACUGAAGAGCUUAAUACUGGUUGGUUUAAAUUUGUAAAGAAAUAGAAAAAUGCAAAGAGUUCUACUUUGAAUGAGUCAUUUCCCAAAUAAUAACCCCCCCCCCCAUUUUCACACCAGCUGCUGGAGCUGAUUCUGGGGUGCGACUUAUUAGAAGGGUUAAAGGUCUUGGUUGUUGCUUUGGGCUUUUCUGAGCAUCUUAAUAAUUCUUCAGACAGAAUAGAUAAGAGAACAUUUAUUCUGCUUCCCAUCUGACAGACCGUAAGUCUAAGAAUGGAGAUGGUAAAAAGGUGACAGUUCAUUCAUGACCACAUUUGCAAAGAAUCCUGAGAGCAUGGUUAAGUUAAGCCAUGUGAAAAGCACAUCAAUAUUUUAGAUUAUUUUUAGCGGUGCUUUGGUUGUACUUCACAUCCAUAUUUCUAAAAUAUGUUAAACCCUUGAAAACACUGCAAUAAAAUAGAUAUAAAGCAAUCUACAGAAGAGCUAGCUCAAGUAUGGAGAGCAGCCUUGGAAUAUGAAUUAAAAUAGAAAAAUAUUAGGCUAGCCUAUUCAUUGCAAGCCACAAAUAAAAAUGAUGUGAUGUUUGUGCUCCCUUAAAACUAAUAGAUGGCAAAGAGCUGAAAUAAUAAUGUAUCAGAACUUCAGGAUGAUUUCUUUUUAUUCUGUACUAUACAAAAAGAAAAAUCUUUCAGUGCAUUAAGGUUGGACACAGUCUAGGAUUGUACAGAUCAGUCUUUUCUCAUUCCUUGACAGUUUUGCAUUCCCUUAGUCCCAUUUUUGAGUGCAAUUUUUUUUUAAAAAAGCAAAAAAGCAAAAAAAUUGUUCAAAUGGUUUGCAUUUUGUAUAUAUUUUAUACAAAUUUGUCCAUUCUAAUAGAUGAUAUAUGAAUUUCCCCCAGAAACUCUCUUUUGUCUAAUUUUUUUAAACAAAACUAAAUCGCAAAAUUCAUACAAGUGGAUAAUCGAAUUGACAGUUGUGUUUUGAUCUGCACCCAGUUUUUCAUGUUACUGCAACUAUUUGCAAUUUUUUUAAAAAUCCUCAUGAAAAUUCAUUAGCAUUUCUUCUAAUACACAUAUUUUUGUAUGUAGUUUUGACUCAUAUAUACAUUUUGGAAGCAAUUUUCCCAAAUACAAUGCACUGCUGUAUGUUAUUUUAAUAAGUGUAGAGGAUGUGAUCCCUGAGCAAUCAAUGAAUAAAAUUGAGGUCUAAAUGAAUGUAAUAUAUUUCUAUCACAUAGGUAUAUAGAAAUUUAGAAACUUUUUGGGGAAAAGGGAUCUAUGGCUGGUAGCCAUUAGACUGUACUGAAUUGUACUUUUACAACAUUAAAAUACAAAUGCAGUGUGAAGUAGUGCAUAAAGUUGUUCUAGAAUACCUGGCUGUAUACCUACGUAACAGAAAGCUAUUAUGUUCAUUUAGACCUUGACUUUAUUCAUUGUUUGUUGUUUUCACUUAUACCUGCAUUUUUGUACACGCUACUUGUCUGGAUAAUGGCAUUGCAAAAUUCGGAGAAGUGCACAUUUCUGAAGGGUGGCUGUGUUUCAGUUUACGUAUCAUUUUGAAAAGAUGCAUUUGGUAGGUUUGCCUUGAAAUGUGAACUGAAUCAAUUUGGCCCACCACCCCUAGUCUAGGGGAAUUGAAACUGGAACAAUGCGAGACUGAAGGCACAUUCUUUCACCUUUGGUGGACAUGCCCAAGGAUUAAGACAUUCUGGGAGAUGAUUUAUAAUGAAAUGAAAAAGGUAUUUAAAUAUACCUUCCUGAAGAAACCAGAGGCCUUUCUCCUGGGCAUAGUGGGCCAAUUGGUGCCAAAGAAGGAUAAAACUUUUUUUAGGUAUGCAACAACAGCAGCAAGAAUACUCAUCGCAAAGUAUUGGAAGACACAAGAUUUACCCACCCGGGAAGAAUGGCAGAUGAAGUUGAUGGACUAUAUGGCACUGGCGGAAAUGACUGGCAGAAUCCGAGACCAGGGAGAAGAGUUGGUGGAAGAAGAUUGGAAAAAAUUUAAAGACUAUUUACAGAAAUACUGUAAAAUUAAUGAAUGUUAGAAAAAUGUUGGAAUGAAGUUAUAUGGCUUUAGUAGAAAUGUUAUAAGGAAUUAAGUACAGAUAGGUUAAUAGAGCAUUAAAGGAAAAAUAAGGUUAGAAUGAAUUAAGAUAAUUAUAGGAUAGAAAACAGAGGAAGAUGGAAAGGAAUUGCGGAAAUAAUUAACAGAAGUGGAAUACAAAAAGGGAGGUGUGAGGAGGUUGUGGAAACAAGUGAAUAAAAGAUGGGAUAAUGAAAUUGUUUGAUUUAUUUUAUUGUUUUUGUUUUGUUUUGUUAAUUUGAUGUGCUGUAUUGUAUUGUCUUUUUAGUGUUUAAGUUUUUGGAAAAAUAAUAAAUAUUAUUU
Molecule: long non-coding RNA, 6258 nt
Filed under: Podarcis lilfordi (Lilford's wall lizard)
Lineage: Eukaryota; Metazoa; Chordata; Lepidosauria; Squamata; Lacertidae
Source: RNAcentral